UUUCUUUCUCUUUCAUCCAUUUCAAUUAGCUAACAUAAGAACUAAAUAGAGAGAAAGAGAGAGAAGGGAGGCAAAUUUCGACAGCCAUGAGUAGUAGAAGGGAGGGAGUUUGAUUUUUCAUAUCAACACUUCAUCUCAUAUGUUUGGAGGAGAAAAUUUUGAACAAAGGUAUUUAACCCUUUUGUUUAUAUAAUUUUAUUUUGAUUAUUCUUAAUCAAACCUUGAAUUUAUAUUUCUAAACUUAAAACCCAUGAAUAUACAUGUUUAUGAGUGUUUCAUGUUUAGAUAUACCCAUAUUGGGUGUUAAUUUGUUUGGAAAUCAAAAAUAAAGAAAAGUGAUUUUUAUAGUUUAUAAACCUUAAAAUUUCUAUGUACUUUGGAUUUCCACCGUUUUUGAUCUACACAUUCUUUUUGUGAUCCGUCAAAGAAAGGUACUAGAUAUGUAAGUUAGCUACAAAACCCAAGUGGUAGAACUCAAAAAUGUUGAGUACACAGUCCAUAAUAACUGAUUUAGCAAAAACAGUUUUGUGUCUUUUAAGAAAAACUGGACUGUUUUGGACAGUCAAAGGGUAGGGGCAGUUUAGUCAUUUUUCCGACAUCUAAAAAUUCUGGAAAAAUUUGGGAGGAUACUAUGAUAAGUUAUCUAGCAUCUCCAAGUAGAAUCACUGAAAAAGGAGUUGUAGAUUUCCGUAUGGAAAAUGUUUAACAAAGCACGAAAAAACUGCAAAAUGACAUUUCGCUGCUGCGAAAGACUUUCCAGGGGCUGUUUCGGCAACUUAGUUUGUGAGAAAAAUUCCGGCCUUUUGGGACAUGAAAAUAUAUGGUAUUAAGUACCUACUGUCCAAAAAUGAGCUCAUUCUGACUUAAAAUGACCAAGUUAUGACCAUUUCAAUUUCUGUGAUUUUCCGACGAAAAUCGCUAUAACCGGAGUUCUAUAAAUCCGAUUGCCACGAAAUUUUAAUUGGAGUAUCACGUUAACACGUAUAAAAUUGUGUCAAGAGAUGGGAAAUUCUGGAGUUAAGCACGAGGUAGCUAAUUUCUUAAGGAAUUUACUAAAACUGAUUUUUGAAAAAUACCAAAGGAAAUUGGAAAAUUUUGGGAAAAUACUUUUUGUGUAUGAUUUAUAUGUAUAUGUGUUUGGACAAGGGAUAGAAAAAUAAUAAGUUGAUUUGGUAUUUUCGUGAAAAGGAUAUGUAAUCCAGCUUGCUGGAUUGAAAAAUCUGAUGAAUCCAACUUGCUGGAUUGAAAAAUAGUUUACUAAAUUGAAAAUAUGUUGAAUCUAGUUUGCUGGAUUGCAAUCUAGUCACUGGAUGUGAUAUCCAGUUUGCUGGAUUACAGUUUAGUUUGUUGGAUUGGCCAUCUAGAUACUGGAUUUAGAAUCCAGCUUGCUGGAUUCCAAAUCUGGGUUGCUGGAUUGGUAUUUGACUUAUAUGUUCAAGAAAAACUUAUUAUAUAUGUGAUUAAAGUAUUUAAAUCAUAUAACUAUGAUAGUAAUGAUUGAAAAAUCAUAAUAAAUGGUAAUAAUUAUUUUAAAAUUAUUACGAGCUUAUGAAAAUUAUUUCGUCUGUUAAUAAAUUAUCUUCGUUAAUUGUUAAGUGUUUAGGCAGAGUUUAAUUGAACUUAGACUCGAUAAAAGUCCGACUAGACUGUCGGGACGUUAGAAUUUGUGUCGGUUACAAGUCAUACUGAAAUAGUUUGACUUGAUACUGGGUCUUAUGUGUGUUAUAGACUGAUAGGGUUAUGUGUUAUGUGUUUAGGUUAUUCUAUGUUUAUAUAUAUUAUAGUAUUAUAUUGUGAUGAUAUUAUUCUAAUAUUGGAGAUCUAUAUUACUAAUAUUAGGUCUUCGGAUAAAGCGAUAUAAAUUGCGUAGCGGUAAUCAACGGUUCAGGCAAGUUUGUUUUAUUCGGUUAAGCUUAUGGUUAAUCAUUGAUGAUUGCCAUGUAUAAUUGUACUCUGUACAGAUUACAUGUAUAAGUCAGGUAUGAAAGGUUGAUCACCUUCAUUACCAGUUGGUUUCAGAUAUAUUUGUUCAUUUAUAAUACUUGUUCAGUCAUAAAUUUGUUCCUGCUAGUUCACAAUUAUAUUGUUGAAUUAUAGCCAGCCAAUUAUUCAAAUCAUUUCAAUCAUGAUAUAUCGUUAUAUUGUUGAAUUUAAACUUGCUGGGCAACUUUCAUGCUCACGCUUGUUAUAUCAUGAUAAAACAUUGCAGAUUAAGACGAAUGCAUCGGAUACAAGGACAGGUUAAAGACAGUUCCAGCGUUAGGAUAUGUGUGCAGCUAAAUUGUAUAAGUAUUGUAUGUUAAUAAUGUUAUGUGUUAGAAAAGGUAUGAAAUGUGUAUUAAGUUAAGGUUACUCGACCUUGG
RNAcentral lists this long non-coding RNA (2363 nucleotides) under Panax ginseng (ginseng). RNAcentral's name for it is "long non-coding RNA (PGIN_LNC012162)". The record is from RNAcentral. Lineage: Eukaryota; Viridiplantae; Streptophyta; Magnoliopsida; Apiales; Araliaceae.